Molecule: ribosomal RNA, 433 nt
Filed under: uncultured bacterium
Lineage: Bacteria
Description: partial 16S ribosomal RNA
Rfam family: Bacterial small subunit ribosomal RNA
Source: RNAcentral
AGCGAACGCUGGCGGCAUGCCUAACACAUGCAAGUCGAACGAACUCUUCGGAGUUAGUGGCGGACGGGUGAGUAACACGUGGGAACGUGCCUUUUGGUUCGGAAUAACUCAGGGAAACUUGUGCUAAUACCGAAUGUGCCCUUCGGGGGAAAGAUUUAUCGCCAUUAGAGCGGCCCGCGUCUGAUUAGCUAGUUGGUGAGGUAACGGCUCACCAAGGCGACGAUCAGUAGCUGGUCUGAGAGGAUGACCAGCCACACUGGGACUGAGACACGGCCCAGACUCGUACGGGAGGCAGCAGUGGGGAAUCUUGCGGAAUGGGGGAAAGCGUGACGCAGCCAUGCCGGGUGAAUGAUGAAGGUCUUAGGAUUGUAAUAUUCUUUGAGAGGAGACGAUAAUGACGGUACCCGGAGAAGAAGCCCCGGCUAACUUCGUG